RNAcentral lists this long non-coding RNA (4033 nucleotides) under Saimiri boliviensis boliviensis (Bolivian squirrel monkey). RNAcentral's name for it is "lncRNA (ENSSBOG00000036514.1)". The record is from RNAcentral. Lineage: Eukaryota; Metazoa; Chordata; Mammalia; Primates; Cebidae.
GGAAGAGGCGUGGUCGAGCUGGCCAGGCUUCAGUCGGCCUUGUCUCUCUCUCUGCCAGGACUUUUGCACUUAAGCCAAAUGUUUUCUUUGCCUCCCAUCCGUUUCAUGUGUUCUCUUCAGUGCUGGGUAGAAGCCUGGCCUUGGAAGAGCCCCUGUGGAUGGGGUGGAGGGGGGUGUUCCAUCCAAAUCUGUGCCCUCAAGUGGGUCCCUGCAAGGAGAUCUCAUCAACCCAGACUUCAGGCCUCGCCCUUUCUUUGCUCCCAGUGUUCAUGGGAGGUGUUAGAAACAGAUGCUCUUUGCCGCAAAGAAAAAUCAGCACCGAGACAAAGGAUCUCUCAGCAAAGCAAUUUUUACUUCCUGCAGGAAGGGUACCCUUGCCAGCCAUCUUGCCAUGACAGUACAAAAUGAACAAUGGAAAAGCAGACAUAUUUAUCCCUUACACAUUUGGGGUUGUCCUUACUGCUGUGUUUGAUCUCUGUUGGUUGGAGCCAGACCUCACAACCUAAACUAAAACCUGAUUGGCUAACAACUUAAAAGUUUUCUAAGCAGGUAGACAGUGGAGAAGUUUAAAUCAGGAGCAUAGGCUGUGAGCUGGGACAUGCCUUUGAGCACGUCUAGCACAGAUAUCUUGGAUUAAAGCACAAGGACAUAGAAUGUACUACGUGCCUGUAAGCACAUCUAACAGCUACAUAGGAUAGGGCUUAAUAGUUAUUAGCAAAAAGUAGAAAGGAUUUAUUCUUUAACAAGAAAGAAAACUUUGAAGAGGAACUUUUCUAUUUCCCACAGCAGGGGACCUCCUGACGUUCUCCAGGACCAAGUCCUCAGAGUUCUCAUUCUUUCUCAGUGACCCCGGAACACUAGGCUCCUUCCUGUAUUGACAGCUCAGAAUGUGGGAUCCACUGUCCCUUCACCCAAGACAUCUCUAUGAGCAGAGAGGCUGCGUGAGCCCCAAACCAAGUACACUCCCGUUUGGCUGGUGUUAUUCUUGAAGCAGUUUCACUGGCCACAGGGAGUGGAGAUGGGGGUGAGACAGAGGGAGAUGAGGUAUCUUGUUCCUGGGAGGAAACUGGGCCUCUUCAUGGUCCCUGUGUGAUCCCAGGAGGCUGAGCAUAUGGAGCUCUCGGGUCCCUGACCCCCGUCUGCCUCCAGGUGCCUGGAAUCAGGCAUCAUGGGCCCCUUAUCCUUGGCAGAUGGACACCGUUCCUCCCGUUUGUGCCCGAUUCAAGCCUUUUUGGGGCAAUGGGCCUCUGUGUCGUGUCCAGGUCCCCCUGUUCUCAAGUCCUCAGGGAGAAGCCCACCUCUGGUUGGGGCAGCUCCGUUGCGCAGCCCAAGACCCUGCUCUACAGGACCCUAGUGGUCCCUGCCCACCACACACCCCUCUUCUCCCAAGUCCCAGCCCACUUACAGGCAUCAGCCCACAGAGAGAACCUCUUCCUACCCUCCCUGUGUGUCUCCUGGACUAAGACUUGGGGGGCAGUGGGAGCGUGAAAGGGACAGAACUGAUCCUUCCCUGGGACCCACUCGGGAAGGAAUAGGACAGCCAGCUCCCGGCCCGGGGCAGGUCCUCAGCUCUGCCUGGGUUGCCUUACAGUGAGACAAAGCUGCCACUCGUCAGUGCCCUGGAGGCGAAGGUAAGAGCCUGACCUGCUGCCUGAGAGGGUGGUCCAGGGACAGGAGGACUCGGUGGGUGGUCAGAAGCCCGAGGGCACUGGCGGUGAUGAGUGGGAGCAAUAGGCUGCCCCUGGGAGUGGCAGCAGUUCCUGCUGGACCUGACCCCAAGACUGUCCUCGUGCUGAUUUGACCAAACUCCAAACUGACAGCAGCAGUCAUGGCCCAAGGGUCGCUGCCUGCUAGCACCAAGACCCCACCUGGAGGCUGGUACUUGGCCUGAGGACAGCGUCACAGGUGCCUGUUCGGGUCAGAGGGUCUCAGUCCCCAGGGCCUGCCUUUUCUUGGUUCUUUUUGCAGUACAGUCCCGUCAGGGCCUCAGAGCCCAGGAUACAGCACCCAAGGGCUGCUCCAGGAAACCUGGUAGCUCCUCUAACUCCAUGUCAUCACAGGGUACUGUAAACAUGUCGGAGGAUCAGAAAUACAGAGAAACGGCUCCAAAUGCUUCAAGACGGUCAGGAAUACAGGAGUGGCAAGGAGAUGAUGUGGGGAGGGAGAGCCCCCGUGACCACUCUCUACAGAGACAGGGGGACGGACUCCCAUGGCUGGGUCCUGGCACUGCCUGCCUCUCAGAGGGUGGGUGGCACACUGUCCUUAGCCAGGACAGGAGGUCUGGACAGCAGCUUUCCUAUUUGUCCCUGCAAACCUCAUCUUGCUGGAGACUGUGAUGCCAAGACCUGGGCCAGCACUAGCUCAGGGAUACCCCCUGGUGACCGGAAGGAAGGAACAGGUCAAGAUCACUAUUCACAACUCUGAAUUGUGAGAGGGGAGGUCUGGUCCUAGGUAGACCCCAUCUCUCCUGAAAAAUCAACAAAGUCUGGAGACUUCCAGAAUCCUCAGGCUCUGCUCCUCCCUGGGGCUGCCCCAGGGCCUGUCUCUCCAGAGUGUUCUGUCCCAAGUUGGCUGGGAGACGGGACACAUCUUGGUAGAUGUGUGGAUAUCAAGAAGGUAAAGGCCAAGAACCUCUAGAAAUACAAAUGUAGGACUCUUCGGAAGUCAGCCAGAGCAGGACAAGCUAGGCCAGUCCGUGUCUGGAGCCCGAGCCUCUAGUUGGAGGGAAUGCAGAGCCUGGGUUGAAGGUGGGGGUCGAAAUAAAGUGAGAUCCUUUGAGAAACACGGUGACGCCAGCACCACAGGUGAGCUGAAAUCCAGGACUCGUGGGACUGUAAGGAAGCCAAGCAGAGGGGGAGGUUUCUGCAGAAGGAACCCUUCCCUCCCAAAGGGCUGUCGUGGAUGACAGCGGCGUGGGGCAGCACCUUUUAUCUCUGUUCAGAGGCGGCUUCCUCUUCUUGGCCCGGCCCUGGAGGUCAUGCGGAUGAAAGAGAAGAGUUCCCUCGGGAACUUCCACCAGAUCAACCUGGAUGUCAGCCAUACCCUGAGAAACCACAUCAUGUUCCAGCCACAAUACAGUGUCAAGUAAGGGCCUGUGGGGCUGAAGUGAACCAGAGGCGUGGGGGCUUCACCAGAGCAGAGGCUGGUGUCACCCAGGAGGGGCGACAGAGCCACCCGCAAGCUAUCCAGGGCCAAUAAACAGCUAGCAUCAUAAACUGUCCGCCUGGCUCCAAGCCCUGGGCCUGGCUGUGACACGUGGGGCCAGAACCCAAGUGUCUCCCGAGGAGACAGACAGCGGCAAAUAAGUGAGGAAUGGUGGAAAGUGCUGUGACCCAGGGGAGGGCGGCAGGAUGGAGGGACUCGGGAGCCUUCCCAAGCAAUCAGUGACACCAAAUACCGGGAGGAUGCGGGGGCCCCGGGGAUCCUCAUCCCUACCCAGUGGGAACAUGACGGGACAUAGCCACUCUGGAAUUCCGUUGGACGGCUGCUCGGAAAAACUCAGUGACUCGUGCCACAUGUCCCAGUAGUCUCAGAGGCCGACCCAACUGAUUUGAAAACUGAUGGCCAUGGAAAACCUGCAUGCCACAUUCACGACUUGAUUCAUCGUCCCUCACAGCUGAAGGCCACCAAGGCAACCUUCAACACGGGAAUAGUAAAAUCCACUUUUACCAAAACGUUUCCUCAAACGCGGUGACCCUGGAGAGCUCAUCUGCUUACUCAGCGCAUGCUCUGGACCUGGAAUUGCAUUCAUUGUCGGAACAUAGCAGAGAGGACAAAAUGGCAUCUGUGUGAACCCAAACCCUCUUUUCUCUCUUUCCUAUUUGGCACCACCUUUGUCACGUCCCAGUGGCGUGUUCUGCGUCUAACCCCUUGAGUACUAUGGGGCUACCAUAUUUCCGGGUCACAUUCCCAUAUUCACAGACCUGGGUGUCUCGGGUGAGGGGUGUCGUUGCUUCAUUAAAAUUCAGUAUCCAACACCUACCAAGAUGCAGUGGGUACGACUCAAGCUUGCUGCUGACUUGGAUAUCCAAGC